UCUAGCUCUGCCUCCUUCCUGGCUGGACCUUGGACCCACCAUGUACCCUUGUCUUCUGUGCUGCUCCUGGCUGGACCUGGACUGUCCCAUCACUGUGCCUGGGGCUGUCAAUGGACCUGUCUUUCAGCACCCAACUCAGAUGCUGCACACCCUGCUCUGACCUGUCAGAGAAGAACUAUGAACUCUGGAUACAUGAUAAAUUGGUGUUUCAGAGCGAAGUCUGUAAGCGGGACCCAGAAGAAACCUGCAGGCUGCCGUCCCACUGGGUGUCUCUCACCACAUGAACCCUGGUUUCUUUCCUGCACUGUGGGGAGGACGAGGGAAAGAUUUGCAACAACAUCAAAACUGAAAUGCCUUUGGGUGUCCAGGGAAGGAGGCUUCAAGAGCACAUCAGGAACAGAGACCUCUCCUGAGCUACAAAAUCAGAGCGUCUUCCAGCAACAUACUUGACGCCGACAGCAAUUACAUCUGAGAAGUUCUGCCAAUAAUCCUUCGCUCCUCAAAGUGCACUGACUUCGCUGCGAGGCGGGAUGUACUGUCAGGCUGUGCACAGCCCAGAGCAGGAGACAGCUCUUCUGGCAGUCCUCCAGUGCCUCGCUUCCCCAGGUUGAGUUAGUAUUUUCUUACCUUGCAUGUGAAAACUACUUUCUUCAUGCGACGUGCUAUGUUCAGAGACUGCAGCAAUGAACAGCAAGGAAACCUGUUAUGGAAACAAAUGCGUACGUGAGUGUUACAGCAGCUGCUGCCAGGCCUUCUAUCUGUGUCCAGGUUUUGCUGCUACUUCAGGGAAGCAAUGCAGAAGGUCCCCUUAUGCAAUGCAGAGCCGUAGGUUAUGUAAAGCAGAUGCAGUAAAACCUGACACCAAGCAAAGCGUAACUUUGACCCUGUCCCAAAUUGAUUAUUAAACACCACAGUAAUUUUCCUUAUAGCACUGAAGUCUGAAUCAAUCCUAAUACUGACAUCAGUUACCCUAGUGUGACUCUAUUGAUUUAACACAAUUUUACAUCAAUGGGGGCAGAAAAGGGUAAUGAAAUUAGCUGUAGGUGACUUAGUACAGUAUAAAACACACUUAAACACUAAAUAUAAAUGACUAAUUUCAUAUUUGUUAAGCAACCUUCACUCCUUUAUAAAAUAAAAGGAAUUUUGGUGGUAUUUAAUAUGUCUUAAAAGCAGGUUAUUCUUUACUCAGAUGCCCAGCUAUGGCUUUAGUUUGCAGUGAUUAUGGCUAAUACAUCUAAAUCCUGUUAGAGAAAUAGGGUGUUUGGAGUUCAUAAGUAUGAGAAACGAAAUGCUAUCUAAUGCUACAAUACAAAUAUACUGCAUUUGGAACAGCCCCUAAGAUACUGUUUUAUUUUAUUGUGCAGUUUUCUGCUUCAUACCUAAUCUGAAGCAACAAAAAUAUAACGAUGAGCCCUGAUAUCUUUCUGCCUCUAAUUAUCCUCUGCCAAAUUCCUUGUGAUUAUAUUGAUUAAAGUUUUCUUUCAGUUUCGCCUGUAGCUGAAACACAUUUCUCAUUUCUAGAGGUUGAUUUUAUUCUGUCAUUUCAUUGUGUUGUAAGCGUAUAUUUAAUGUUUCUUUAUAAGGAUGAAAGUGAAUUCUAUUACAAUGCAAUCAUUGACAGAGCUAUUGAAAACCGCGUUUUCUCUCAGCAUUUUCCUGACAUUGCUGAAUUUUGGUUCUCUGAACACAAGAGAUAGAGCUUUAUUUGUGAAUUAAUUUUUCACACUUUUUUCAAUGAACAAGAGUGCACAGGCACAUAUAUAUACAAAGUCUAUGAUUUUAAAAAGUCAUGCCCCAAAACUUAAAAUAGUUUUUGAUGGACAACAGACAGAAGCUAUAGGCAGUCAUGAGCUACCUUCUGAUAAAAAUUGAGUUAAAAAUCAAAUCCUUAUUUAGUGAGACGUUAAAGUACUGGCAGAGAGGGCAGAGGAAAAACAGAAAGGUCUUUCCCUAGGUGAAAAGUAGCAAUACCUUGACAGCCUUCACCGUGGAAGCACAAAAGGAUGCUAGCAGUGUCAUUCCUGGCCCUCCUACUCCAGAGAUCUUGAGAGUGUGUUUCCAGCUAUGGCUGUAAUGUUACUAAAUCCUCUGUAAGUAUGGACUAAGGGGAGGACAGCAAACCAAGGGCAAAAACUGGGGAGAAAACACUGCUUCCCCCUGAAAGCCCGCCCUCUGUCCUUCACUGAACAGUUGAGCAUGCUCUUUCUGUUUCAGGCUGACAAACUCCUAUACACAACUAAAUAUGAAGCCCAACUAUGCUGCAGACAGCACGUGUGUCUUAGUGGUGGCAGGGUUCUCUAGUGCAGUUGCCCCCGGCAGAACCACCGCAGCCCCUUCGCCCACUCCCGGCAUCUGCAGAAGCCGUCCUUCCAGAGCGCAGCCAAGCCCGAUGGCAAGCCCUCUGGUUUGCUGAGUCGUCUUGAGUCUCUAUGCUUUACCUUUCAUAAUUUUUGGCUUAAAAUAUUAAAUAAGAAGCGUGUUAAUAAACAUCGGGGAAAUAGGCAAUUCUGGGAAAUUGAAGGGUUGUUAUUUCCAUCUGACUGAGAAAUAUGCUGCAGUCCGGUCCUUCCGGCCGCUGAUCAAGACACCGUAGUUCACAGUUUGUCAUCUCCAAGGCGUAUUGCUGCAGACACCCCCUUCCCACCAGCGAGGGGAACAGAAGGGAUCCCAUCAAUUCUGCAUGCGCACCCUGAUGACCCAUCAACUGCUAAAUCCCUUUUAAGGCCUCCUUACUGAAUCCAUGGAUUCUUCAACAGGCUAUGCCUAAAAUAUCUCCACUUGCUUUUCCAGCAGUUUUCUGCUAUCAGCCAAUAUGACCAUUAAGAAAGGUGAAAAUUUAUUCUUUCAAACAAUUUCUCCUUUAAUUCAUAAGUAUUCUUCAAAAUGAAAAAUGCAGUAAAAUAGAGUAUAUUAAUAAUAGCAUUUUAGGUGCAGCUGUUCAGUCCUUCAUUUCAUAAACUUGCACUUACAGGAAGUUACAGUCCUUGUGUCCAUUUCACCACAUUAAAGUUCAGUUCUUAAAUUCACUAUGUCAACACAUCUCUUGUUCAUUUUCCAGCUUUCUAACAUUUUUAAAUUCCAAACCUGCAUUGUUAGGUGCCUAUUUACAUUUUAAUUCUGAGACCUACAAAAAAAAGUCUUUUUGUUUACAAGUCAACAAUUCUGAUUUUACAUUUCCAGCCAUCGUAUUUUCUCUUAAAAUUAGAGAAAUGCCAUCGGUUAACCAAUAUACAUACAUAUUUCAUAUGCAGAAUAUCUCCAUCUCUAAUAUCAUCUAUGUUUUUCAUUACUGAAAAGCAAAGGAUCUAUAUUUAUUUCAUAAAUAUAAGUAAGCCUUUCUGUGUUUUAUCUAACAUUGUUUAAUUAUACAUAAUGAAGAACUGUAUAUGCCUUAAAUAUUUUUCUAACUCAUGAUGUAAUUGAGUUUACUUUUAAUAAA
This is a long non-coding RNA of Gymnogyps californianus (California condor), 3439 nucleotides long. RefSeq lists it as uncharacterized. The transcript is spliced from 4 exons. The record is from RefSeq and is a predicted model, not a curated record. NCBI's taxonomy places the organism in Eukaryota, Metazoa, Chordata, Aves, Accipitriformes, Cathartidae.